GACGAACGCUGGCGGCGUGCUUAACACAUGCAAGUCGAACGGAAAGGCCCUGCUUUUGUGGGGUGCUCGAGUGGCGAACGGGUGAGUAACACGUGAGUAACCUGCCCUUGACUUUGGGAUAACUCCAGGAAACUGGGGCUAAUACCGGAUAGGAGCUCCUGCUGCAUGGUGGGGGUUGGAAAGUUUCGGCGGUGGGGGAUGGACUCGCGGCUUAUCAGCUUGUUGGUGGGGUAGUGGCUUACCAAGGCUUUGACGGGUAGCCGGCCUGAGAGGGUGACCGGCCACAUUGGGACUGAGAUACGGCCCAGACUCCUACGGGAGGCAGCAGUGGGGAAUAUUGCACAAUGGGCGGAAGCCUGAUGCAGCAACGCCGCGUGCGGGAUGACGGCCUUCGGGUUGUAAACCGCUUUCGCCUGUGACGAAGCGUGAGUGACGGUAAUGGGUAAAGAAGCACCGGCUAACUACGUG
Molecule: ribosomal RNA, 468 nt
Filed under: uncultured bacterium
Lineage: Bacteria
Description: partial 16S ribosomal RNA
Rfam family: Bacterial small subunit ribosomal RNA
Source: RNAcentral